RNAcentral lists this ribosomal RNA (236 nucleotides) under uncultured bacterium. Its description in RNAcentral is "partial 16S ribosomal RNA". It matches the Rfam family "Bacterial small subunit ribosomal RNA", at positions 100 to 334 of the family's 1533-position model. The record is from RNAcentral.
CGGGACGGGUGAGUAACGCGUGGGUAACCUGCCUUGUACUGGGGGACAACAGUUAGAAAUGACUGCUAAUACCGCAUAAGCGCACAGCAUCGCAUGAUACAGUGUGAAAAACUCCGGUGGUACAAGAUGGACCCGCGUCUGAUUAGCUAGUUGGUAAGGUAACGGCUUACCAAGGCGACGAUCAGUAGCCGACCUGAGAGGGUGACCGGCCACAUUGGGACUGAGACACGGCCCAA